AUGCCUCUCGCUCUCGCUCUCGCGACGCUGCACCUCCCGCCCGCCAUAGCCGCCGCCCCCGCAGAUCCAACACCGCAGCAUGCCUCUGCGUCGCCGAGAGGCAUCGACACCGACUGCACCCACACCUCCCCUGCCCCAGCCACUUUCCCCGAGGUUCUGCGGCUAAUCUCUCCGAUACCGCAGGCAGUUCUCAUGGCGACUCGAGCAGCGGGGUGGAGGGAGCGCGCGACCAGGAUUCGGGAUGCCACCUUCGAGUGGAUCCGGUGCGUGCAGGAGUGGAAGGCGGUGGACCAGGCGGUGGCGACGGCAACCGAGCCGGUGGCGAGAUCUGCAGCUGCGAAGGACGCGGAGAUCUGUCAGAAGAGGGCAGACUUGGAGCAGAGGAAGCUGGCGUGGUGCAUCUUCGAAGAGGCCACGCUGGAGGAGAGAGCAAGGAUGCCCCCAUUUCCGCACUCGCCGCCGGUGGAGUUCGUGAUUUGGGCACGGGCGGAGGCGAAAUCAAGCGAUAAAAAGAUUUGCUUCAUCUGCGGACUGGAAGGCCACAACGUGAACAACUGCGCUGCCUGGUCUCAACCCCAUCCAGUGGCCACUUUCUUUGGAAGCUCGACCCUGGGGUUAGGGUUCUAUCAUAUCGAUGCACCAGUGGGACGGGAGGCAAACUGGCUCAACUUCAGGAUUUGUGGAGAGGUCUGGGUGAUGAAAGCAGAUAAAAAGUUUCUGGUCAGGUUUCUCCCCUGGAAGGAUGUAGAAGAACUAAUUGAGUUUCCAGCCUUUGAGCUGCCCAUAGAUGGAGUUUCAGUGUCUGUGGAGAAAUGGACUGGGGCGAUCGACCCCUUCAACGAACUGAUUGAAGCCUGGGUGAUUGUAGAAGGCUUAUCAUCCAAAUGGUGUACGUGGAAAGUUCUAUCACAGAUCGCUUCAUGCUUUGGGAUUCUAGUGGACGUGGACUGGAACGGUCUGAUGAAAAGUUUCUAUGAGAAAGUGAGGAUUAAGAUUGCUUGUAGAAACCCAGCAAAAAAUCCCUUUGAACGAAUCAUGGAAAUGAGGAGGAAGUUGUACAUUCUGUCUUUCACAGUGGAAGGAUUUGAGCAAAUUGGUGCUGAUGAUCCCAAUGAUGACAAUGGUCCAACUGAUAUAACUAUGGAUGAGGAUAACAAGGAUUUUGAAGAUGAGGAAACUGACAGGGAUAUCCUUGACGAUGGUGAAGAACCUAUCGAUGAUUUGGACCUGGCCAACAGGACUAACAAAGUGAAAUCUUCAGUUGGGAAACAGAAGAACGAUGAGGACAGUGCUUCCUUCCAUCCUGCUAUUUUGGCCGAGGCUUGCAUUUCUCCUGGGAUACCAUGGACAAGUACCCGGGCGAUGUUGGGGUGGAUCAACUCAUCUCAACAUCAAUGGAAGAUCCUAUGCAAGGGCGACCAAUCGGUGCUGCUCCAACGCUGCCUCCUACUCCUAGACCAACGAAGAGGCGAGCUACUCAGGAUCGCCUGGGCUGGGGCUGAGAGCGUGCUCAAAAAGGCCCCGGGGCGGGGGUGUACUGAAGGCUCAUUCGAGGUGAAGCUGAUGGAUCAUCCUGUCCCCGUGUAUGCGCUGAUGAACUUCUAG
This 1605-nucleotide ribosomal RNA is filed under the name Triticum aestivum (bread wheat). Its description in RNAcentral is "partial small subunit ribosomal RNA". Lineage: Eukaryota; Viridiplantae; Streptophyta; Magnoliopsida; Poales; Poaceae. The record is from RNAcentral.